UGGGCCGAGCUGGAUUUGAACCAGCGUAGGUAUAUUGCCAACGAAUUUACAGUCCGUCCCCAUUAACCGCUCGGGCAUCGACCC
This 84-nucleotide transfer RNA is filed under the name Bennettiodendron leprosipes. RNAcentral's name for it is "tRNA-Tyr". The record is from RNAcentral. Lineage: Eukaryota; Viridiplantae; Streptophyta; Magnoliopsida; Malpighiales; Salicaceae.